UCUCCCAUAGACCACUGAACUCAUGCAUCAUUCUGUAAUUCAUGUUCUGCCCAUAUAGGAACUCUAAGCUGACCAAAAUUGUAAGGGUUGGCUCCAGGGCUAGGCCACCGCCGGCCACCAGGGGGAGUCAACGACCCAAAUGAGCCACACCUGCUCAGGGGGCUUUAUAAGGGCUGAGAAGAAGACACACUUUGCUGAGUCUUUGUUUCAGAAUUCUGGCAAACAGACCGGCCGGUAAUCUCGGUUAGAAGCUGUAAGAGACUCACUAUGCCGAAGAACAGAGAUGAGAACUUAUAUGCCUGUACCAGGGGGUAUAUUUUCGGAAGUGGCAGUGAUGUACUUGCAGCAAAGACUAAGACCCACUCUACUCAACUCCACAGUGCUGCAGCUGAGGUUUUGACGAAACUGAUUACAAACCAUGAAAGAAUCCGGUGCUACCAGUUCAGUCAGAGCCCUUCUCUUUAUUCAGUUC
Molecule: long non-coding RNA, 472 nt
Organism: Colossoma macropomum (tambaqui)
Lineage: Eukaryota; Metazoa; Chordata; Actinopteri; Characiformes; Serrasalmidae
Exons: 3
Source: RefSeq, a predicted model, not a curated record